CGGAAUGGAUAAGCGCUGAAAGCAUCUAAGCGCGAAGCCAACUUCAAGAUAAGAUUUCCCACCGCAAGGGUAAGACCCCAGAAAGACUAUCUGGUUGAUAGAUCGAAGGUGUAAGUGCAGCAAUGUAUUUAGCUUAUCGAUACUAAUAGGUCGAGGACUUGACCAA
RNAcentral lists this ribosomal RNA (166 nucleotides) under Clostridioides difficile. RNAcentral describes it as "partial 23S ribosomal RNA". It matches the Rfam family "Bacterial large subunit ribosomal RNA", at positions 2756 to 2925 of the family's 2925-position model. Lineage: Bacteria; Bacillati; Bacillota; Clostridia; Peptostreptococcales; Peptostreptococcaceae. The record is from RNAcentral.